UAGUACGGCGAGUGAGCGGGAAGAGCUCAAAUUUGAAAGCUGGUACCUUUGGUGCCCGCGUUGUAAUCUCGAGACGCGUUUUCCGCGCGGCGCUAUGGACAAGUUCCUUGGAACAGGACAUCGUAGAGGGUGAAAAUCCCGUACUUGCCAUGGAUGCACCGUGCUUUGUGAUACGUGCUCAAAGAGUCGAGUUGUUUGGGAUUGCAGCUCAAAAUGGGUGGUAGACUCCAUCUAAAGCUAAAUAUCGGGGAGAGACCGAUAGCGAACAAGUACCGUGAGGGAAAGAUGAAAAGCACUUUGGAAAGAGAGUUAAAAGUACGUGAAAUUGUCGAAAGGGAAGCGCUUGAAGUCAGCCAUGCCGCUCAGGACUCAGCCUGGCUUUUGCUUGGUGUACUUCCUGGGUAGCAAGUCAGCAUUGGUUUGGACCGUCGGAGAAGCAUGGCAGGAAUGUGACGCCCUCGGGCGUGUUAUAGCCUGCCAUUGGAUACGCCGGUCUAGACCAAGGAACGCAGUGCGCCUUACGGCGGGUCUUCGGACACCUUCGCACUUAGGAUGCUGGCGUAAUGGCUUUAAGCGGCCCGUCUUG
RNAcentral lists this ribosomal RNA (586 nucleotides) under Malassezia japonica. Its description in RNAcentral is "eukaryotic LSU rRNA". It matches the Rfam family "Eukaryotic large subunit ribosomal RNA", at positions 81 to 656 of the family's 3401-position model. The record is from RNAcentral. Lineage: Eukaryota; Fungi; Basidiomycota; Malasseziomycetes; Malasseziales; Malasseziaceae.